RNAcentral lists this ribosomal RNA (318 nucleotides) under uncultured bacterium. RNAcentral's name for it is "bacterial SSU rRNA". It matches the Rfam family "Bacterial small subunit ribosomal RNA", at positions 28 to 348 of the family's 1533-position model. The record is from RNAcentral.
GACGAACGCUGGCGGCGUGCUUAACACAUGCAAGCCGAGCGGUAAGGCCCUUUCGGGGGUACACGAGCGGCGAACGGGUGAGUAACACGUGGGUGACCUGCCCUCAGCUCUGGGAUAAGCCUGGGAAACCGGGUCUAAUACUGGAUAUGACUCCAUGACGCAUGUUGUAGGGGUGGAAAGCCUUGUGCGGCUGAGGAUGGGCCCGCGGCCUAUCAGCUUGUUGGUGGGGUGAGGCCUACCAAGGCGACGACGGUAGCCGGCCUGAGAGGGCGACCGGCCACACUGGGACUGAGACACGGCCCAGACUCCUACGGGAGG